RNAcentral lists this transfer-messenger RNA (227 nucleotides) under Hyphomicrobiales bacterium. RNAcentral's name for it is "Rhizobiales bacterium partial transfer-messenger RNA". It matches the Rfam family "Alphaproteobacteria transfer-messenger RNA", at positions 1 to 230 of the family's 355-position model. Rfam says of the family: Bacterial tmRNA, also known as 10Sa RNA or SsrA, is named for its dual tRNA and mRNA-like properties. Its role is to liberate the mRNA from a stalled ribosome. Lineage: Bacteria; Pseudomonadati; Pseudomonadota; Alphaproteobacteria; Hyphomicrobiales. The record is from RNAcentral.
CCCCUUUUCAUCGGGGCCCAUGGUCCUUAUAUUGAGCGUGCCGACAACGGCUAUGGCGAUAAAUUGCCAUCGUAAUAAACCCAUCGGACCCGGGGGCAGUACCCGGCGCCUCCACCAAAAACCCUCUGCUUACAGAGGCUUAUGGGGGCGAAACAGGAUCGACGAGGGCGUAAAGGGUGUGUUUUCGCUCGGCAUGGUACCACCGUUAUCGGACUAAAACUUAUAGU